GGCUCAGAUUGAACGCUGGCGGCAGGCCUUAACACAUGCAAGUCGAGCGGAUGAAGGGAGCUUGCUCCUGGAUUCAGCGGCGGACGGGUGAGUAAUGCCUAGGAAUCUGCCUGGUAGUGGGGGAUAACGUCCGGAAACGGGCGCUAAUACCGCAUACGUCCUGAGGGAGAAAGUGGGGGAUCUUCGGACCGCAUGCUAUCAGAUGAGCCUAGGUCGGAUUAGCUAGUUGGUGGGGUAAAGGCCUACCAAGGCGAAGAUCCGUAACUGGUCUGAGAGGAUGAUCAGUCACACUGGCACUGAGACACGGUCCAGACUCCUACGGGAGGCAGCAGUGGGGAAUAUUGGACAAUGGGCGAAAGCCUGAUCCAGCCAUGCCGCGUGUGUGAAGAAGGUCUUCGGAAUGUAAAGCACUUUAAGUUGGGAGGAAGGGCAGUAAGUUAAUACCUUGCUGUUAAGACGUUACCAACAGAAUAAGCACCGGCUAACUUCGUGCCAGCAGCCGCGGUAAUACGAAGGGUGCAAGCGUUAAUCGGAAUUACUGGGCGUAAGCGCGCGUAGGUGGUUCAGCAAGUUGGAUGUGAAAUCCCCGGGCUCAACCUGGGAACUGCAUCCAAAACUACUGAGCUAGAGUACGGUAGAGGGUGGUGGAAUUUCCUGUGUAGCCGUGAAAUGCGUAGAUAUAGGAAGGAACACCAGUGGCGAAGGCGACCACCUGGACUGAUACUGACACUGAGGUGCGAAAGCGUGGCGAGCAAACAGGAUUAGAUACCCUGGUAGUCCACGCCGUAAACGAUGUCGACUAGCCGUUGGGAUCCUUGAGAUCUUAGUGGCGCAGCUAACGCGAUAAGUCGACC
RNAcentral lists this ribosomal RNA (854 nucleotides) under Pseudomonas aeruginosa. RNAcentral's name for it is "bacterial SSU rRNA". It matches the Rfam family "Bacterial small subunit ribosomal RNA", at positions 21 to 870 of the family's 1533-position model. The record is from RNAcentral. Lineage: Bacteria; Pseudomonadati; Pseudomonadota; Gammaproteobacteria; Pseudomonadales; Pseudomonadaceae.